GAUGAACGCUGGCGGCGUGCCUAAUACAUGCAAGUAGAACGAUGAAGGAGGAGCUUGCUCUUCCGGAUGAGUUGCGAACGGGUGAGUAACGCGUAGGUAACCUGCCUGUUAGCGGGGGGUAACUAUUGGAAACGAUAGCUAAUAUCGCAUGACAACAGUUAUAGCAUGAUAACUGUUUAAAAGGGGCAACUGCUCCACUACCAGAUGAACCUGCGUUGGAUUAGGAAGUUGUUGAGGGAACGGCUCACCAAGGCGACGAUACAUAGCAGCCCGGGGAGGGGGGUCCGCCAAACUGGGAAUGGGACACGGCCCAGACUCCUACGGGGGGCAGCAGUAGGGAAUCCUCGGCAAUGGGCGGAAGGCUGGCCGGGCAACGCCGCGUGAGUGAAGAAGGGUUUCGGAUCGUAAAGCUCUGUUGUAAGAGAAGAACGAGUGUGGGAGUGGAAAGUUCACACUGUGACGGUAUCUUACCAGAAAGGGACGGCUAACUACGUG
RNAcentral lists this ribosomal RNA (495 nucleotides) under uncultured bacterium. Its description in RNAcentral is "partial 16S ribosomal RNA". It matches the Rfam family "Bacterial small subunit ribosomal RNA", at positions 28 to 507 of the family's 1533-position model. The record is from RNAcentral.